AGAGCUUUAGUUUAAGUAAAAUGUCUGUGUUGCAAGCAGAAGAUGUGGGUAUCUGCAAGUUCUC
RNAcentral lists this transfer RNA (64 nucleotides) under Xenopeltis hainanensis. Its description in RNAcentral is "tRNA-Ala". It matches the Rfam family "tRNA". From Rfam's summary of the family: Transfer RNA (tRNA) molecules are approximately 80 nucleotides in length. Their secondary structure includes four short double-helical elements and three loops (D, anti-codon, and T loops). Further hydrogen bonds mediate the characteristic L-shaped molecular structure. tRNAs have two regions of fundamental functional importance: the anti-codon, which is responsible for specific mRNA codon recognition, and the 3' end, to which the tRNAs corresponding amino acid is attached (by aminoacyl-tRNA synthetases). tRNAs cope with the degeneracy of the genetic code in two manners: having more than one tRNA (with a specific anti-codon) for a particular amino acid; and 'wobble' base-pairing, i.e. permitting non-standard base-pairing at the 3rd anti-codon position. The record is from RNAcentral. Lineage: Eukaryota; Metazoa; Chordata; Lepidosauria; Squamata; Xenopeltidae.